GGAGGUUCUUUUAGAACAAAAUAGAUCUCGGCUCACCAAAUUCCACAACCUGAAGGCAGUCGUCUGCAAGGCCUGCAUGAAGGAGAACAGACGCAUCACUGGCCGAGCCCACUGGGGCUCACACCACGCAGGUGGGAAAGGGCCAGGUGCCUCUAGAAGCCCCACAAGCGUAGACCCUAACUGCUUCCUGAGUUUUGUUGAUAAAUGAAUUCUAAGAAGAGGCUGAUAUAAUUGGAUGAACAGAAUAGAAUUUAAAUGAUAGGGCCGGGUGCGGUGGCUCACGCCUGUAAUCUCAGCACUUUGGGAGGCCGAGGCAGGCAGAUCACUUGAGGUCAGGAAUUCAAGACCAGCCUGGCCCACAUGGUGAAACCCCGUCUCUACUAAAAAUACAAAAAUGAACCGGGCGUGUUGGCGGGCGCCUGUAAUCCCAGCUACUUGGGAGGCUGAGGAAGGAGGAUCACUUGAACCUGGGAGGUGGAGGUUGCAGUGAGCCAAGAUCACGUCACUGCACUCCAGUCUAGGUGACAGAUCGAGACUCCAUCUC
Molecule: long non-coding RNA, 544 nt
Filed under: Homo sapiens (human)
Lineage: Eukaryota; Metazoa; Chordata; Mammalia; Primates; Hominidae
Description: HSALNT0117361
Source: RNAcentral